GAUGAACGCUGGCGGCGUGCCUAAUACAUGCAAGUCGAGCGAACAGAUGAGGAGCUUGCUCCUCUGACGUUAGCGGCGGACGGGUGAGUAACACGUGGAUAACCUACCUAUAAGACUGGGAUAACUUCGGGAAACCGGAGCUAAUACCGGAUAAUAUAUUGAACCGCAUGGUUCAAUAGUGAAAGACGGUUUUGCUGUCACUUAUAGAUGGAUCCGCGCCGCAUUAGCUAGUUGGUAAGGUAACGGCUUACCAAGGCAACGAUGCGUAGCCGACCUGAGAGGGUGAUCGGCCACACGGGAACUUAGACACGGUCCAGGCUCCUAAGGGAGGCAGCAGUAGGGAAUCUUCCGCAAUGGGCGAAAGCCUGACGUAGCAACGCCGCGUGAGUGAUGAAGGUCUUCUGAUCGUAAAACUCUGUUAUUAGUGAAGAACAAAUGUGUAAGUAACUAUGCACGUCUUGACGGUACCUAAUCAGAAAGCCACGGCUAACUACGUG
Molecule: ribosomal RNA, 497 nt
Filed under: uncultured bacterium
Lineage: Bacteria
Description: partial 16S ribosomal RNA
Rfam family: Bacterial small subunit ribosomal RNA
Source: RNAcentral